AUGACUAGACCAAAGAAGGAUGGUGGACUUGGCUUCCGUGACUUGCAUAUUUUCAACAUGGCAAUGCUAGCUAGGCAGGGAUGGCGACUUCUGGAAGCACCAGACACGCUAUGUGCUCAAGUCCUGAAGGCGUGGUACUACCCAAACUGCUCGGUUUUGGAGGCCACUGAAAGCGACGGUAUUUCGUAUAUGUGGAGCAGCAUCCUAAAGGGAAUCGCCUUGCUAAAAGAAGGAAUUAUAUGGCGAGUUGGGACAGGUGAGGGAAUUUAA
RNAcentral lists this ribosomal RNA (270 nucleotides) under Triticum aestivum (bread wheat). RNAcentral describes it as "partial small subunit ribosomal RNA". The record is from RNAcentral. Lineage: Eukaryota; Viridiplantae; Streptophyta; Magnoliopsida; Poales; Poaceae.